Long non-coding RNA from Anthonomus grandis grandis, 299 nucleotides. RefSeq lists it as uncharacterized. The record is from RefSeq and is a predicted model, not a curated record. The transcript is spliced from 2 exons. NCBI's taxonomy places the organism in Eukaryota, Metazoa, Arthropoda, Insecta, Coleoptera, Curculionidae.
CGUUUUUAUACAAAAACAUCGAUGAUGGCAAUAGCUGUUGUCUUAAAAACAGGUAUGUGGAGCAGACAUUUUGAAAAACACAAACAACAGCAAAAACAUGCAUAAUAAUAUUAACAAAGCAGCGUGCGAGGUGGACAUGCUAGCAUCGGUCGUCGCGUCCACUUGGGCGCCUGUGACGUAUCAUCCCGGCCGCGCUGAUACAAGGAAAAAAUUAAACAUGGCGUAUUUAUUCGAACUUUGAAAAUUAAUUGUGAAGUAACUAUAAAUACUAGAGAACUGAAAUAAAUUGCUAAAUUUAA